GAUGAACGCUGGCGGCGUGCUUAACACAUGCAAGUCGAACGGUGAAGGCGGAGCUUGCUCUGCUGGAUCAGUGGCGAACGGGUGAGUAACACGUGAGCAAUCUGCCCCUGACUCUGGGAUAAGCGCUGGAAACGGCGUCUAAUACUGGAUACGAGCUGCGAAGGCAUCUUCAGCAGCUGGAAAGAACUUCGGUCAGGGAUGAGCUCGCGGCCUAUCAGCUUGUUGGUGAGGUAACGGCUCACCAAGGCGUCGACGGGUAGCCGGCCUGAAAGGGUGACCGGCCACACGGGGACUGAGACACGGCCCAGACUCCUACGGGAGGCAGCAGUGGGGAAUAUUGCACAAUGGGCGAAAGCCUGAUGCAGCAACGCCGCGUGAGGGACGACGGCCUUCGGGUUGUAAACCUCUUUUAGCAGGGAAGAAGCGAAAGUGACGGUGCCUGCAGAAAAAGCGCCGGCUAACUACGUG
Molecule: ribosomal RNA, 468 nt
Filed under: uncultured bacterium
Lineage: Bacteria
Description: partial 16S ribosomal RNA
Rfam family: Bacterial small subunit ribosomal RNA
Source: RNAcentral